This 1309-nucleotide long non-coding RNA is filed under the name Olea europaea subsp. europaea. Lineage: Eukaryota; Viridiplantae; Streptophyta; Magnoliopsida; Lamiales; Oleaceae. The record is from RNAcentral.
UUUCCUUCUGCCCAAAGGUGUUAGGAUUUCGAAAACCAAUGUAAUUUUGUUAACUGGCUACAUGAUGUGUUUUAAGAGUACCUUAUAGCAUGUUGUAUUGUCGACCUAAAGGUGACUUUAUGAUGAUGCACCUAGGCUCUUACCGUAAUAAAAUUCGUAUGUUUCGAUUUAAAUUAUGGAUUAUCUAAUUAAUAGCCCAUAUUAAUUAAUUGGAUAUUUCAUCAUCCAUUUGAUUGCACGCAUUAAGUUUGGAUGAUAUUAAGAGUGAUAUUUUAUGUUUCCACAGUUUAUAAUGCCUCAUCUCUUUCGAAUCAAAUGUCUGCUAUUGAAACUUUGACUGGGAAUAACUAUGUGAGAUGGAAACGAGACGUAGAAAUAGCAUUUCGUCUUUUGGGCUUGGAUUUUGCAAUGGAGAAAAGGCUUGAAAAACCCUCAGAUAAGAGUACCGUUGAAUAUGUAGCCGAGCAUGAAAAGUGGGAAAGGGCUAACAAACUCUGUUUGAAAAUCAUUAAGCGAUCGUUAUCUGAUUCCAUUCUAGGUGCCAUCCCUGAUAAUGAAAAUGCCAAAAAUUUUAUGGAUGCCAUAGGAGAAAAAUUUAUUGAGUCUGAUAAAGUCGAAACUGGGGAUCUGAUGGAUAAAUUUAUGAGCAUGAAAUAUGAUGGUACAAGUGGUGUUAGGGAACAUGUCAUGAAAGUGAUAAAUAUAUCAUCUAAGCUAAAGGCUCUUGACAUUCCCAUUGCGGAGCCUUUCCUGUUCUAUCAUGUUUUGAAUAGCCUUCCUAGCAAGUUUAAUCAGCUUAAGGUUGCUUACAAUGCUCAGCGGGAUAAGUGGAAUUUGAAUAACCUCAUAGCAGUGUGUGCCCAAGAAGAGUAUGGGAUGCGCCGUGAAAUUGUUGAAACUGUGCAAUUAGCUUUUCAGCCAUCACAGAAUAAGGGGCCUUUUCACAAUCAUAAACCUAAGUUUCGUAAGGAUAAUAAGUCUCACCGAAGUCAACAGAAUAAAAAUUUUAGUGGUCCCAAAGGAGUUAUAAAGAAAAAUGAUCAAUGCAAGUUCUGUAAAAAGAAGGGUCACUGGCAGAAAGAUGUACCUUUGAAUUCUUGGUGGUUAGACUCGGGAGCUAGUAUUCAUAUUGCGAAUUCCUUGCAGGGGUUCAUAAGCAAACGGAGGCCAAGUGAGAAUGAAGUAAGCUUGAGCGUUGCAAAUGGAUUUCAAGUGAAGGUUGAAUUCAUAGGAGUAGUGAAGUUAACUUUAGAGUCUGAUUUUUAUCUUGUUUUGGAAAAUACAGUUUAUGUACCGCAGAUGAGACGGA